GAUUAAAAAAAAAUAAGAAGGGAGAAGAGAAGAUCCAGGAUAGAAAACUGUGGAACACCCAUGUUUAUCAGAACCCUGAACUGUCAGUUCCUCAAUCAAUUAACUGAUAAAAAAAGGUUCCAAGAUCCAUACUUACCAAUCUGUUACUGUGCUCAACUCAGGCUAUUAUAUUGUGAAGUCAUAGGAAACAGCUAGUGGUGAAUUAAGGAACCUGCGGGUGGCUGCUUGUCCCA
Molecule: long non-coding RNA, 233 nt
Filed under: Monodelphis domestica (gray short-tailed opossum)
Lineage: Eukaryota; Metazoa; Chordata; Mammalia; Didelphimorphia; Didelphidae
Description: lncRNA (ENSMODG00000048758.1)
Source: RNAcentral